GAUGAACGCUGGCGGCGUGCCUAAUACAUGCAAGUCGAGCGAACAGACGAGGAGCUUGCUCCUCUGACGUUAGCGGCGGACGGGUGAGUAACACGUGGAUAACCUACCUAUAAGACUGGGAUAACUUCGGGAAACCGGAGCUAAUACCGGAUAAUAUAUUGAACCGCAUGGUUCAAUAGUGAAAGACGGUUUUGCUGUCACUUAUAGAUGGAUCCGCGCCGCAUUAGCUAGUUGGUAAGGUAACGGCUUACCAAGGCAACGAUGCGUAGCCGACCUGAGAGAGUGGUAGGCAGCAUGGGAUGGGGAACCGAGCCAAGCCUCGUACGGGAGGGGCCAGAAGGGAAUUUUCGGCAGUGGGGGGGAACAUAACGGAACGCCGCGGCGGGAGGAGUAAAGAUGUCGGGUACGAAAAACUUUAUUUUGGGGAGAAAACAAAGGUUGAGGUACCUAAGCCGUGAUGCACGGUCACUAGUAAAAAAGCCCCGGCUAACUACGGG
This 497-nucleotide ribosomal RNA is filed under the name uncultured bacterium. Its description in RNAcentral is "partial 16S ribosomal RNA". It matches the Rfam family "Bacterial small subunit ribosomal RNA", at positions 28 to 507 of the family's 1533-position model. The record is from RNAcentral.